RNAcentral lists this ribosomal RNA (327 nucleotides) under uncultured eukaryote. RNAcentral describes it as "partial 18S ribosomal RNA". It matches the Rfam family "Eukaryotic small subunit ribosomal RNA", at positions 1470 to 1796 of the family's 1831-position model. The record is from RNAcentral.
CCCUUAGAUGUUCUGGGCCGCACGCGCGCUACACUGAUACGUUCAUCGAGCUUACCACCUUGGUCGAGAGGCCUGGGUAAUCUUUUAAAAGCGUAUCGUGCUGGGGAUAGAUUAUUGCAAUUUUUAAUCUUCAACGAGGAAUUCCUAGUAGACGCAAGUCAUCAACUUGCAUCGAUUACGUCCCUGCCCUUUAUACACACCGCCCGUCGCUACUACCGAUUGAAUGAUUUAGUGAAUUGCAGGGACUUUGCUGGCCUCUUGGUUUCCUUGAGCCGGCAUCGGAACUGCCGUAAACUUGACCAUUUAGAGGAAGUAAAAGUCGUAACA